Molecule: ribosomal RNA, 585 nt
Filed under: uncultured bacterium
Lineage: Bacteria
Description: bacterial SSU rRNA
Rfam family: Bacterial small subunit ribosomal RNA
Source: RNAcentral
CCUACGGGAGGCAGCAGUGGCGAAUUUUGGACAAUGGGCGAAAGCCUGAUCCAGCCAUUCCGCGUGAGUGAAGAAGGCCUUCGGGUUGUAAAGCUCUUUCGGCAGGAACGAAACGGUUACGGUUAAUAAGCGUGACUAAUGACGGUACCUGAAGAAGAAGCACCGGCUAACUACGUGCCAGCAGCCGCGGUAAUACGUAGGGUGCAAGCGUUAAUCGGAAUUACUGGGCGUAAAGCGAGCGCAGGCGGUUGUGUAAGACAGAUGUGAAAUCCCCGGGCUCAACCUGGGAACUGCAUUUGUGACUGCACGGCUAGAGUGCGUCAGAGGGGGGUGGAACUCCACGUGUAGCAGUGAAAUGCGUAGAGAUGUGGAAGAACACCGAUGGCGAAGGCAGCCCCCUGGGACGAUACUGACGCUCAUGCUCGAAAGCGUGGGGAGCAAACAGGAUUAGAUACCCUGGUAGUCCACGCCCUAAACGAUGUCUACUAGUUGUUGGUCCUUAAUUGGAUCGGUAACGCAGCUAACGCGUGAAGUAGACCGCCUGGGGAGUACGGUCGCAAGAUUAAAACUUAAAGGAAUUGACGG